Varanus komodoensis (Komodo dragon) is the source of this 164-nucleotide small nuclear RNA. Its record names the gene U1. It matches the Rfam family "U1 spliceosomal RNA". Rfam says of the family: U1 is a small nuclear RNA (snRNA) component of the spliceosome (involved in pre-mRNA splicing). Its 5' end forms complementary base pairs with the 5' splice junction, thus defining the 5' donor site of an intron. There are significant differences in sequence and secondary structure between metazoan and yeast U1 snRNAs, the latter being much longer (568 nucleotides as compared to 164 nucleotides in human). The record is from Ensembl. NCBI's taxonomy places the organism in Eukaryota, Metazoa, Chordata, Lepidosauria, Squamata, Varanidae.
ACAAUUACCUGCCAAGGGAGACACCUUGGUCAUGAAGGAUGCUUUCUGAGUGUGAUGCUCAUCCAUUGCCCUCUGGGUGUGUUGAUCUCUGCAAUGUCCCAAAUGUGGGAAGCACAACUGCAUAAUUUGUGGUACUGGAGGAGAAAGCUUUGUGCUUUCUCCUG